Molecule: ribosomal RNA, 515 nt
Filed under: uncultured bacterium
Lineage: Bacteria
Description: bacterial LSU rRNA
Rfam family: Bacterial large subunit ribosomal RNA
Source: RNAcentral
CCGUAGGGAAACCGAGUCUGAAUAGGGCGAAAGUCGCAGCGCGCAGACCCGAAGCCAGGUGAUCUAUCCAUGGCCAGGUUGAAACGAGGGUAACACCUCGCGGAGGACCGAACUCACCUAGGUUGAAAACUAGGGGGGAUGAGCUGUGGAUCGGAGUGAAAGGCUAAUCAAACUUGGAAAUAGCUGGUUCUCCCCGAAAUGUAUUGACGUACAGCGUCAUUCAGUGCCGCCGGAGGUAGAGCACUGACAGGGCUAGGGGGCCUCACAGCCUACCAAACCCUAUCAAACUCCGAAUGCCGGCGAGCAGCGAUUGGCAGUGAGGCCGUGGGAGAUAAGUUUCAUGGCCGAGAGGGAAAGAGCCCAGACUGCCGGCUAAGGUCCCUAAAUCCAUGCUAAGUGGUCGAGGAUGUAGGGCAACUCAGACAACCAGGAGGUUGGCUUAGAAGCAGCCAUCCUUUAAAGAAAGCGUAAUAGCUCACUGGUCGAGUUGCCCUGCGCCGUAAAUAUAACGGGGC